This 650-nucleotide long non-coding RNA is filed under the name Equus caballus (horse). RNAcentral describes it as "lncRNA (ENSECAG00000058592.1)". Lineage: Eukaryota; Metazoa; Chordata; Mammalia; Perissodactyla; Equidae. The record is from RNAcentral.
CUCCGGGGAAGAAUUCUUCCCCUUCCUUCUACUGGCUAUCCUUUUUCUAAUACAAUGAACAGCAUCUAAGCCAGGUUUCUGCCCCAUAUUUUGAGGCCCUGGAUGAACCAAGCCUGGAUAGCUGAGAAACAAACUCAGGUCCUAAGGCAGUCAUGUCCACCUUGCUGGCUUUCACAUCUCUAUACUUAAUCCUGGAGGAAACAGAAGAACACCUGUUUGAGCCAGAAUUCUUGUCAGGAGGACUUCUGGAUAGGAGGAUGAAUCAGCUUCAACCCUUUUCCUUGCUUGGGUCACUGCUCUCUACAAUCAGCUGGUACCUGGUCUGUUUGAAGAACAUCAUCACUGUGGCUGGAGCUGAGUGAGAAAGAGGAAAGUGGAAGAAGAUGGGGUCAGAGUGGUGUUGGGGACCAGGGCUUGCCGGGUCUCCUAGGCAAUUGAGACACACAGAAUGAAUUGUAGAUGUGAUGGCUGGAGUUCAAGCAGCCAUCUUGUGCCAUAAGAUGAAAACUACACACUGAGGAUGGUGGAGCAUCAAGAGAGAAGGAGCCUGAGUCUGUGAGGACUUCUUAAAGCUGCUCUGCCAGCCCUGGGCAUUCAAAUUUUUUAUAUAUGUAAAAGAAAAAUAAAUUCCUAUUUUGGUUAAACCCUUG